CUCAUUGUUUUGACACCUGGACU
RNAcentral lists this non-coding RNA (23 nucleotides) under Cricetulus griseus (Chinese hamster). Lineage: Eukaryota; Metazoa; Chordata; Mammalia; Rodentia; Cricetidae. The record is from RNAcentral.